Pleuronectes platessa (European plaice) is the source of this 435-nucleotide long non-coding RNA. RefSeq lists it as uncharacterized. Lineage: Eukaryota; Metazoa; Chordata; Actinopteri; Pleuronectiformes; Pleuronectidae. The transcript is spliced from 4 exons. The record is from RefSeq and is a predicted model, not a curated record.
UUCACAUACGGAGGGAAGCGAAAAGAGAAACAGAAUGUCUUUGGAACAAAUGAAAGUCUAAAACUCAAACCCUGUGUCACAUAACUGUUGCUGCGGAGCUACAAGAACGCCAGACCCAGACUGGAUCAGAAAGAGUCUUUUUCUGUGUUUGAUGAGGGCCAGCUGCCAAAGUCAGUGUUUAACUAGCCAGUUAAAUAGAACACUGAAUACCAGUUCUGUGCCAAAUUUAUCUGGGCCAAGGCCUGAGGGAUAAAGUUCAUGUGCAGUGGAGCCAGAUGUGCAAAGCAACACAACAGCCGCUCCUCUGACCAGUUCCAACCGGUCCAGACCAGUGCAGCUGCAGCUGAGAUCACAGCAGGUCCAAGCAGAGCGAGCCGACGCCCUGCUCAGGCAGGGGUAAUCCUGAGGUGAUGACACUUCAGUCUGGCUUCACAG